RNAcentral lists this microRNA precursor (118 nucleotides) under Trifolium pratense (red clover). RNAcentral describes it as "pre miRNA MIR394". It matches the Rfam family "MIR394 microRNA precursor family". The record is from Rfam by way of RNAcentral. Lineage: Eukaryota; Viridiplantae; Streptophyta; Magnoliopsida; Fabales; Fabaceae.
CUUACACAUAUUUUUUGGCAUUCUGUCCACCUCCUCUUCCUUUUCUUCAUCACUAGUAAUUUCCCAGCUCACUCACUGACGGACGGAGGUGGACAUACUGCCAACAGACUUGUGUUGG